CACCAGCAGCCAAAACACGCGCGUAGCUCUUUUUCGCACUGUUUGCAUCCUUUUGUGCUUUCCCGUCACCAUUGCGCCUACCGACUGGACUCCCCGCCCUUCUUCUGCAAACAAGGGUGCGUGUGCACCUAUGUUUUUCUCCGCGUGCCUUAAGUCCAUUUACACGGCAGGCAACAACUCCCAGCGACCCUUCUUCACGAGAAAGGGACGGCGUCAACCGCAAGAGCAGUAGCAGCAUCCGAGGUGGCGAUAUCGUCAGCGUUGUUGCCAUCUGCCUUUCAGGCGGCGCGCCAAUCAAAUCAUCGCUACGCACAGAGAGAAGAAUCCAAACAACAACACAAGGGGUACGUGAAAAACCAACAACAACAACGGCCAUCGAAGGAAGCGUGCGCAUUCAACCGAGCUCAUUCCUUUGCAGACACUAUCAACGCCUUUCCUCCACAGUCGUCCUUGCCGUUGCCGUCGUCUCUCUGCCUUGUGUCUUAUUCGGUUUCAUUGUUUUUCUGUUCUGUUGUUGGCGUUCUGCCCGACGUGGAGGACGUCGGUGCCAUCUCCUCCUCUCCCUCACAGCUUCUCUCUUCUUUUCUGCCAUCCCCUCAUUAUAGACUCCUUGAAGUUGCGCCCCCUUUCGACUUUCAAACGCUCUGUCUUUUUUUUUUUGUUGCGGUUGCCUGCUGCCGUGCACUUGCAUCUCCACUUAUAUCUUUAUCAGUUCGGCAGUGCGCAAUAGUGUUUGUCUGUGUGUCUGUGUGUGUGCCUAACUGGGUGUUCGAGGGAGAGAGGGACUACAUCAUAACAGCGUGCCGGCGCCGUGUUGCCCACGUGACUUCGUCUCCGUGUUGGUAGCCGCGGUGGUUCUCUUGUUCUCCCGUAUUAUCUGUUUCCACAGCCCUUGUGCCCGUUACGUUUCACUUGCUUUUCUUUUUGCGUGUUGUCUUGCCGAAACAGUCGCGCUCCUACACGCACACACCCGAGCAUACGUUUCCGCGCUCCCUCUCUCUGUCUCGUUUCUCAUCUUUUUGAGCGCCGAAGAUGAGCUUCAACAACCCGCUCGAGUCGCUGCUGCGGAGCAUUAUUCAAGGCAGUGGCCGUGGUGAAGGCGGCGGAGGCGACGGAAGCGGCCAACCCACCAUGGUCACAUUCAGCACCGACGAUGCUUCCGGUAUGUACCCGCUCUCCAUGCUGCAAGCCAUGGGGCCGAGCCUCGUGUUCAGCCGUGGCCCCGGUGUCAGUGUGUCUGCAGAUCCGACUCGCCGCGGUGCUGAGGCCUCACCGGCGAUGCCAGACGCGCAGUCUGCCUCACCCGGCAGUGUGUACAGCGGCGGCGUGCCGCCCAUGGUGUGGAUACAGCGGGAGCAGCAGCGUAUUCCGCUUCAGUUCUCCGCAACAGGCAGCCCCAAUCUAGACGGAACGCGGCUGCGCGAGGAGGGCAACGAGGCCUUCAAGGCAGGCCGGUACCACGAGGCGAUUCGCUACUACACCCAGGCGAUCGAGGUCGACCCGGACUCGGAGUUCCUCUACACCAACCGCUCUUUUGCCUACUUCAAUAUCAAAGAGUUCGAGAAGUCCGCCGCUGACGCGGCGAAGGCGGUGGAGAUUAACGCGAACUUUUUCAAGGGGCACUACCGGCUGGGGCUGGCGCAGAUGAGCUUAAACGACUUUGGCCAUGCUAUGGAGAGUCUGCGCAAGGCCUGGGCGCUGGCGCCCAGUGAAAACAAAGAGGCUAUUCGGGUAGCCAUGGCGAAAUGCGAGUCCAAGAUGGCACGAGCGCCGGUGACGCCGCUGCUGAUGAGCCCUGGCGAUUCCUCGUCCGUGCCCUACACCGAGACUGGGGUCAGCUCGCGCUCUUCGUGGCCGACGGCUCCGGCGCGUCCCACAGAUGCGCAGUCGGCACUCGGCAGCACUAGCGUGGACUUCUGCGAGCUGGAGGCAGGGAUACGGCGCGCGGCGACCUUGCGGGACCAGGCAGCAAAGUAUGCCGAAACGUACAAAGCGCAGGACGCCAUUGUAGAGUGCAGCAAACGGUCUGACAAGAUCAAGUCCCUCAUGAGCAUCGCCACCUCCAGCGAGCUCUCUGCCCUCUCCAAGGAGGCGGACGAGAAACAGUCGCAGUUGCGUCGUGCUGUGCGCGACCAGGACAGCAACGCUUAUCACAAGGCGCGGUGUGACCGAGAUGCUACACUCAACAAGCUGUGGGACACUGCUGCACAGGCUGGGAUGGCGAUUGCGCAGCUCAAGAAAAUUGCCAAGGAGGAGCAGAACUUUUUCAGCCGAUUCGGUCCGGCUUCCAACCGCACGCUGCCCAACGUCCCAACGGAAGGGACGAGUGACACGUUAACGGCCGUGACGACGCCCGUAGCAGCUGAGUCGCCGCCCGCCUCGGCACCGAUUCCGCCAAACGAAGCUCCGGCCGAUGCCGGCGCCCCAGGCACGUCCCUGUCUCGUGCUUCUUGUAUUUCCCCAGGAAGCUCCACACCGACCGCCGAGGCGGUGGUGCCGCACCAGCCGUUGACAACGCCGAGGGCCGGCGCAAAUCAUUCUACCCAGAGCUCCACCAUCGCCGGCGCUGAGCUUGACCAGCUGCUGCGACGCCGUGUCGAGAUCAACGAGGCGGUGAGAAAGGCGCAGAAGUGCUUCGCCGCCACCGACGCAGCCGGGCAGGCGUUCUUGCACUCAUUGAAGGCGGAGGCGGAUGCGAUGAAGGAGGUGCGUUCGCUCCUUGCCGAGGCAGUGGAGCUCGACACCCAGCUGGAGACCCACGCACGUCAGGUGGCGCAGACCACAACGAAGGAGCUUUCCGAUGUGCGUUUACAGGCGCUGGACCAGAUGAGCAGCGUCGUCGAGCGCGUGAAAGCAGACAAGGAGGCCUUCGUCAAGACGAUGCGCGAGGGCGACGGUCUGCUGGAGGAGGAGGCGAAGCUCGAGCAACAGCGCCUCUUGCAUGAGCGCCAGCGCAUUCAGCUGCAGGCCGAAAUCGAAUGGUUCAAGAUUCGGGAUGAGCCAGAGAAUAAGAUCGAAUGCCUGCAGGUGCAAGUGAAGCGACUGCACCAGCGUAUCGCUGCCAUCCACGAGAAGCAGAAGGCUGUGCAGACACGCAUCAUGGAGCUGGUGGAGCAGGAUCACCCGGAGCUGGCGUGGAAGUCGAUGGCCAACGGUUCACGAAUCUUGCGGCUGGUAAAGGGCAGCGGACUCUGGCAGAACCUUUCCUUCUCCGACUUCCAGGUUUUGUCGACGCUGUCGUCCACCGUGAACAGCAAGGUAUACCACGCGUUACGCCGCGGCGAGCACGUCGCUGUGAAGGAGAUCUCCAUCGACGACGAUGCGGCGCGCCGACGCUUCCAGCGAGAGGUGAAUAUCGUCUCCACCUGCAACCACCCCAACAUCAUCCGUAUCAAAGGCGUCUUCUUCGACGGACCUUUUGCCUAUAUCCUCUUACCCUACUACCACCGCGGCAGCCUGCGGGCGUUGCUGUCGAAGCAGGAACCCAUGUCGUGGGUGGCGGUGCAGGACAUGCUCCGUCAACUCGCCAGCGGUGUCGCUUACCUGCACGAGCACGGCAUCGUCCACGGUGACCUGAAGCCGUCCAACGUGCUCAUUGCGGACGACGGGCGGCCUGUCAUCUCCGAUUUUGGCAUUGCCAAGGACCACGGCGCCCUCGGCGUUGCUGACAUGACGCUGACAACCACCGUGACGAACACCAGCAACGGCUGCAACAGCAUCGUGGGCACGAUACAGUAUAUGGCACCUGAGCAGCUGCUGUGCGAGACGGGCUCGCACACGGCGAAAUCCACGGGCAUGUCCGACAUGUGGGCGCUCGGGUUCACGAUGCUGGAGGUGGCGCUAGAGAACGCGUUUUUUCACGAUGCCUCACUGGGGAAGCCGAGUUUGCCGCUGCUGCUACCAGAGCAGAAGCGGAUCGAUGUGCCGGCCAAGGCCGUCGGCGGUGACGAGAAGCUAGCCGAGGCAAUCGCGUCGGUGCUCGUGGCCGACCCGGCGAACCGGGCGACCGCCUACGACCUGCUGGCGCACCCGUACUUCAGCUCAACGCUCAGCUCCAUGAAUAGCAACCAAAACAGCAGUGCGCUGGCGAAGAGCGACGAGCGCAUCGACGCCGUUCGCUCUUACAUCUACGCCGUCCGUAGAAGCCAUCAACAGAAGGUGCUGGUGUCGGUCUCGCGCAGCCACAUGGUGGAGUCCGUGCGCGACAUCUUCCAGCGCCUCGACAACGAUGACCUGCUCUCUCCCAUCAUGGUUGUCUUCCAGGGCGAGGCCGGCAUCGACGAGGGCGCUCUGACGACGGAGAUGCUCAACCUCUUCUAUGAACAGCUGAUCCUAGUGAAGAAGGCUCUCGUGUGCGCAGCCUCUGAGGAGGCGGGCGCAGCAUCUCCGCAUUCCGCAGGCUCCCCUGUAUCGUCUGGCACGGCAGCUGCUUCGACGAGCGCGUCGAACGAGCCAGGCAUUCGCUCUGUCCUCUUCUCCACCGUUCCGUACCUCCCCGCGCCGGAUGCGGAUGGCAUCGCACCGGACCUGUUCGUACUGCUUGGCAAGGUACUGCUAAAGAGCAUCAUCGAGAACCGCCAGAUCCCACUGCAGCUGAGCUCUGCUGUGCUCAAGUUCCUCUCCGGCGCCGAGCCUUCGUUCGUGGACUUGGAGGAGUAUGACCCGAACAUCGCAAGCACGCUGAAGCGGCUGCGUCUCUUGUCCGCUGCCGACCUCGAGGACGCCGGGCUCGACUUUUCUUACUUCACCCACGAGUUCUUGAAGACGCAGACAGACGGCCGGUACACAACGGACUCGCCCCUUACACCCGAGAGUGUGAGCGACUACAUCAACCUUCGUGAGAAGUUCGACCUGGUGGAGCGCCGGCGCACGGCGUUGGAGGCGAUGCGGAAAGGAUUCUACUGCGAACCGUCUCUCGAGCACCACCUCAAGCUCCUCUCUCCCUCGGACUUGCUGCUACUUCUGUGUGGCCAGCUGCACGUCUCAGCGCAGGUCAUCGUUGACGCGUUGGAGUUCCAAGGCUUCGGCCGCAACUCCAACACGCCCAAGUACCUGAAGGAGGUUUUGCUGGACAUGUCACAGAACAAUCUACGACGCUUCCUACAGCUGUGCACUGCGACGGCGGCCGUGCCGGUGAGCGGGGCCAUGAAGAAGAUCAAAGUGCUGCGCUGCGCUGACGAGGGGCGACUGCCGGUCGGCCACGGCUGCACAAAUCAGCUGGACCUCCCUGAUUACAAUGACAAACAGAUCAUCAAGGAGAAGCUGGAGAUUGCCUUGGCGCAUGCCAGUGACGGCUUUCACGUUGUCUAACGUCACAGCGGAGCGAGAGCCGGAUAGAUGAGCAGGUGCAGGUAGCGGUGGUCACGACGGUGCGCAAAAACCGUGCGCUCUUCACUUGUCGCGCUUUUCCUUUUACAUAUGAAACAGCGAACAAGGUGCUUCGCGCUGCCACGACUACUGUAUUGCAACAACAACUUCAACUAUUACUGCGAUUACGACUGCCUUCUCAAACUUGUUUUGCAGCACUUUUUCUUUCUCGCGAGAGCAACGAAUCUCUGGUGCCAACGUUUAGAUGGGCGGUUUCCCCUUCUCACCCUCUUCGUGAUCUGGCAGUGCGUCGUUGACGGGAGCCAUAGGCAUCUAGGACACUCCUUCCCACCUUUUUGCCCGAGACUACGACGAAGGUGGUGCUGUUUCAGGAAGGAACAAAAAAGGAGAAACAGCUGCGUGCCAUCCUCGCCUUAUUCCUCAACUGACCGCAUUGAUCUCUCUGCCUGUCUUGUGUGACUCGUCUUGCUUUUCCGUUCCCCACCCGUGCCCAUGCCUGCGUGCAUGUUUUUGUGGCCGUAGUGACUGGCGCGGGACGCAUACUCGUCACGGCGCUGACGUUGUUAUGAGUGCGGAGAGGGGUGAACUGCAGGGCCGCAGUGCUCACAAAAGGAGGGAAGAAACAGAUCGAAAAAAAAUACAAAAAUAAAAAUAGACAAGCAUGCAAGCAAACGCACACGCACACACACGCACACACACACAUACGGCUUUCACUGGUGCGUCAUCGGCUUGUUACUGGAGUGCCGUGUGCGACAAGCCGAG
This 6090-nucleotide unclassified non-coding RNA is filed under the name Leishmania donovani. Its description in RNAcentral is "gene:LdHU3.35.5260(CDS-product:MAP_kinase_kinase-like_protein)". The record is from RNAcentral. Lineage: Eukaryota; Euglenozoa; Kinetoplastea; Trypanosomatida; Trypanosomatidae.